UCCAUGCUUGACGGGGGAGGAGGAAGGG
RNAcentral lists this small RNA (28 nucleotides) under Bombyx mori (domestic silkworm). Its description in RNAcentral is "ovarian small RNA-27013". The record is from RNAcentral. Lineage: Eukaryota; Metazoa; Arthropoda; Insecta; Lepidoptera; Bombycidae.